Small nuclear RNA from Suricata suricatta (meerkat), 103 nucleotides. Lineage: Eukaryota; Metazoa; Chordata; Mammalia; Carnivora; Herpestidae. The record is from Ensembl.
GUGCUGGCUUCUGCAGCACAUAUACUAAAAUUGGAACAAUAUAGAGAUUAGCACAGCCCCUCAUAAGGAUGACACACCAAUUCAUAAAGUAGCCCAUGUUAAA